CCUACGGGGGGCAGCAGUGAGGAAUAUUGGUCAAUGGCCGGAAGGCUGAACCAGCCAAGCCGCGUGAAGGACGAAGGUGCCAAGCAUUGUAAACUUCUUUUGUCAAGGGACAAAAUCAGGCUCGAGAGCCUGACCGAGGGUACUUGAAGAAAAAGCAUCGGCUAACUCCGUGCCAGCAGCCGCGGUAAUAUGUAGGGGGCAAGCGUUAUCCGGAUUUACUGGGUGUAAAGGGAGCGUAGACGGUUAUGUAAGUCUGGAGUGAAAGCCCGGGGCCCAACCCCGGGACUGCUUUGGAAACUGUGUAA
Molecule: ribosomal RNA, 305 nt
Filed under: uncultured bacterium
Lineage: Bacteria
Description: bacterial SSU rRNA
Rfam family: Bacterial small subunit ribosomal RNA
Source: RNAcentral